Molecule: long non-coding RNA, 6629 nt
Organism: Parus major (Great Tit)
Lineage: Eukaryota; Metazoa; Chordata; Aves; Passeriformes; Paridae
Exons: 4
Source: RefSeq, a predicted model, not a curated record
GCGGCGGCCCGGCCCGGCCCGGCCGUGGUGAGGGAGGGCGCGGGGCAACGCAGCGAGUGUGACAGUGCGGGCAGUGGUGCCACCUUCCUCCUCAGCAGCAGCCCGUGGGCUGGUUCUUCUCGUCCUUUCUGUUUUCUCCCCUUCUGCAUUAGCCAUGAAAGACUGCUGUAGGCGGCUGUGCCUGGCGAAGGUGUGGCAGACGAAGAUUGGAGCCCUGGGGCUCAGCUGUUGCCAGCUGAGCCGGGACUGCAGACGGGCUGUUUGUGUUUUGGGAACGGGGAGCAGUGCUGCAGAACCUAGGCCUGCAUCCUCUGCCCUGGAAAGCUGUCAAAGGGAUGCUCCCAGAGAAACAUGAAAAAUGACAUAAGCUACGUGAAAGUAGCAUUUCGCAUAACAAAUCCAUUAAAUACCUAGCUCCUGCUGAUGGAGUGAAGUAUUCCAGUAUGGAAGGGGGUAUACAAGUGGGUGUUGCAGUAAGGGGAGUGAAAUUCAAAAUGUUUUCAGUUUUAUGCUCUUUGGACCUAGGAAGUCCAAGAGAAGCACUUGGAGUUGCACAUCUGGGCAGCCCAUGUUAGCCAUAAGGAUAUUGUCAUUAUAGGUAUAAUUAUAGUUUUAAUUGCACAAAAGGUCUGUGCACUUAGAAAGUUCAAUGUGCAAGCUGGAUAAAUUCAUGUAUUUUAUGGAGUAUGCAGGGGCACAUGCAGAGAAACUCCAUUGGAAACUCCAUCUAAGUUUUCAAGAUCUUAAGUUACCUGAUUUUAAUAGUGCAGGUAGCAGAGAAAUGGGAAUAUUCUCUCUUUUUUGAUCCUCUGAUAUAGCCUGAUAUUUCUUUUUCUAAAUCCCUUUGCUCUGCAAAGGCCUUGUACUAAAGUCAUUCACUUUCUCAGCACAAUGUGUCAGUAUUAGGCUCAUACAAAAAGCAUUUCCCACCGUGAAGUUACAACUUGUGAACUCAGCUCUGUCUGCUUGUAGGGUACAUUACAUGUGCAGUAACGGUUUCUAGAGGGCAAAGAGACACGUUUUCACAGUGAUAUUUUCUUCCAUGCUGAGGCCAUCCAGCUACAUGUUGUACAUGUUGCCUUUUAAUGAAAUCCAAAAAUGCUUGAUCUUAAAACAAUUGAAAGAUUAUUGCAAAUGUAAAUACAGUAAGACAGAUUGUGCUUUAUUCCCUUGCCAUUUCUGUGUUUAACAUAUUUAUUUCUUAAGAACUGUGAUUAUGGCCUAGUAAAAGCAAAAUGGAUGUGUUUUUUUUGUAGUUGCAGCCUGUGUUCUCAUAAAUUGGGAAUUUCAUCCCUGCAGUCUGCCAGCCUCUGAAAGUAUACAGGGUGCAUGCAGAUACACAGAAUUCCUCACAGGCUGAACCAUUUGGAGUGUGAUCAGCAUGAUGCUGGAUGGUGCAGCCCUGAGGUGCUAACCAAUGUGAGUAUGCCUGGCAGAAGCUGUCCAUGAGUCAGACACAGAAAGAGAUCAUGGCUGGCAGAGAAUGGGAGCAGCUCAUAAUAUUUUGGGGUUUAAGCAGUAAUGGGCAAUUACAGCACAUUACUCAUAUUGAGAUUACAGAAGAUGUUUGAAUGUCAUGUUGGCUACCACUGUCAUCCUGUACAUACACAAUUUUCUCAGAGAAUAUUAUAUAAAUACUGAAGCGCCCCUACUGUGAUGUUAGCUGUACCCUUCUAACAAACGGAAUUUUAAGGAGAUUUUGUAAAUGCCCAGAAAUUAUGUCCUUGCCAGAGUGCACCAAUCCCUGAGCACAUUCAGCUGUGAGGUUUCUACUUAGAAACACUUGCUUUUUCCGUACUGAGGGGCUAAGCUUGAACCCAGAAAUUAACUGACACAGUGCACUGUCUGAGCAGCUUCAUAGAAUCAGUCAAGGUUAGGAAAGACCUCCAAGAUCAUCAAGUCCAACCUUCACAUCAAAAGCGAGCUGUUGCAUGCUGUCCUAGCACCCUCUUGAUGGUUCUGUUGCCUCAUUUCAUCCCCUGUGGUGUUUUGCUUCUGUAUGGUUCCAGAGGCAGGCGGCUGUAGAGAUUGUGUAAGUGCUCUCUGCUAACCCAGCCAUUGUAGCAUGAAGGGUUGUGCAGGAGAGGCAAGAUGUACUUUUGCCAAGAGCUGGGUGCUGCUAAUGAAGGGCCUGCACCUCAGUAUCCUCACAGGCAAAAUUUCUGCCCACUUCAAAAGUUUUGACCACGUAUCUUGCCUUCUCUACUGAAUUCUAGGUUGAUACAUCUUGUUAGCUGAAUUAGAACCUAUUCUGGAGCUUUGGAAAUUCAAAAAGUUAUAGAGUCUGGUUUCUUUCUUGACUGCUAGUACGUUAGCAAUUAACUCCAACAGGACACUGCUCUGAACAUGAGGGAUUUUUUUAGACAAAGAAUUUUUCUCAUGGAUUGGCAUCUUACAUCUCAGACCCUCAUCAUAUACCAGCCAGCAACUGGUAUAUUUGUGUGAUAUAUAGCUGAAAGUGAGAGAGCCGGAGUCUUUUUAGCUCUUAAUAUUUCCCUCAUUUGAGCACAGAACAAAAUGGCUUCACCCAGGCUAAUAACCACAACUCAGUGUUUAUCCCUGAUAAAACAUAUCCAAGUUAAUUCUUACCCUGUAUCUAUGCUAUCAAAUACUCCAUUGCAUAUUCCCAGGCUCUGAUCCUCUUAUUGCCCAUAGGCAAAUGAUUGUUGAUGGCCAGGUCACAGUAGGCAUUAAGCAGAUAUUUCUGUCCAAAAAAAGCUCAAAUAUCACUGGGGAAAUAGUUUGCUCAAAGGGUAGUUUGUUCCCAAAGACUACAGAUGAGGGUGCACCAGGGUUAACACUGCACAGCUUGGCUUGGCACUUGUGGUCCUGCAUUCUGGUGCAUGCAUUUACCAGUGUACAAAUAGCCCCCAAGCCUGUUAUGUAAGCCCUCCAUGACUGCAGGUAAUCCUCUAAGUAUCAUCAAAAUUCUGGAGUGCUGUGGCUGUGAGCCUCCAGACAAUAAGAUUUUUCAAGGAGUAAUGAGUUGAGAAUCUCAAUUUUCUUAAAACAUAAGAGCUGGUGAGAAAUACCUCUCUGACACUCAGCUGGACUAACGUGAACAAUACACCUUAGAUUCGAUCUGUCUUUGUACCUGUCAAAUAGAAACUAGUUUUAAGCAAAGUUUUAAUUACUUCCAGCACAAAGGAAUGGUGAAAAUGCUGAUUGCUGUUAAGGGCUGUGCAUUUCAGUGUGUUUCAUAUUUUCUUCCCAGGAGACAGAUCUAAAAGUAAAGUACUCAAGAGUUGAAAAGCAAUUAUAUAUUAUACAGGAUGUUUAAAACAGCUUCAAGGCCAUUUUGCCAAUCUCUCCUUUUUUUUCUUUUUUUUGGUUGGUCUUAAGGACAACUGGCUCCUUUGCUUGCUUCCUUCCAGAGAUCUAGCAAGCUGUUGUGCAUUCUCUCCCUUCCUUGCAGUUACUAAUUUUCUAAUUAAGUCUUUGUGCCUGCCCCCAUUAGAUCAAUCAGAACUGAUUCAGUUGCCACUGAUUGCGGUGGGAACAGGCUCAGGCUUUAAGGGCCGGGUUUGCAGGAAAGCUCAACAUCUAUAAUUGGGGCCAGGUUUCCAAAAGAAGUGGCAAGUGUGUUCAAGCCACUGCUGUGGGAAAUGCUCCCAGCCCUGUUUUUACCAUGCUGGCCUCAGCUCUGGAUGUAGAACACUUGGAAACUCUCCUUCAGAAAUUUGUACUGCCCCAGUCAGUGCAAGAGCUGUCAGCAGCCUGGGGAGAGGCAGUUGACACUUGUCCUGUUGUCUGGAUGAAGCAGAGGGUUUGCUACUUGUUUUUCUUCUUACUGCUCUUCUACUGGAUCUUAUUGUUCUUACUACCAGCUGUUGAACAAGAAUACUCACAGGCUUAUUGACUCAGGCUCCCUUCCACAUGCAGGUAUGUAACUCACCUGGGCAUCAAGAGGACCUUGUAGAAAGUAAGCUUUCUCAUAUGUUGAUUUGCAUGCCCACAGUUUGCAUCUCUCACGUUUGAGCUGCAGCAUGGGGAAGGGAAUCAUGGAUUCUUCCUUUCUAUUACUAAUUGUACAGAAGAGUCAGUAUGGCUGAGAUUCAAAUCUGUGGGCGAAAUCAGUCUCUGAUAUAACUAUUCAUCUCAGUGAAAUUACAGCAGGCUUGAUUAAAAUUAUCAUGACUGGUAAAUGUAAAGUACCUUAAUUUUUAGACUGCAGUCACAUAGGCUUAUGCACUUGCACUGAUUUUUAUUCAAAUGAGACAUUUGGUAGAAAUUCAGUAUUACAAACACAUACACACGAUUUCUCAGAAUUUCAUACAAUUUGUUCAGAAACCUUGCAAUAUGACAUUGUUCUUUUUGUACUUUUUGUACUGUGCGGUAUCAGAUGGCACUUGUGAGCCUUUUUUAUUUUCCCUCAAGUACUAUACUUUCUAAAAAUGUUGUCUGUUUCCUCCUAUGGCUAAUACCUGUGGGACUUGCAUCUACUCCAGCAGUGAACAGAAGCCUGAAGAAACCUAUGCCAACAAGCAACAGUUUCAAAUUGCAGUCCUGAUGUAACAAUCCUUUCUGUAUUAUAUGUAGAACAUACAAAGGUCCUCCUUGUGAUGCAAAGUCCCUAACAACUAGAAUUUAGAGAAGAUUAAUUAUCUGAGAAAAUAUUCAAGGAUCCAGGACAUUUGAAACAGGUCUUGGCAUAAAGAAGCAGAAGCUAUUCUAGGUUAUUUUUUUUCUGCACAUUUACCUUGUAGUUUUAAAGUCUGAUGUCUUGGGACCUCAUAAAGCUCAGAGUAAGAGCUCUGUGAGAGAGAUCAUCUUCUCUGACAGCACAGCGUUCCGGUUUCCAGUCCUGAGAAGAUGAGGCUUGUGAUAUGUCUGAUGCUCUUCUUUUCUCUCUUCUUUGGGCCAGCAGGUAGGAGCUGUCUGUGUUCAACGUUUGGAGUGAAGGAUUGCUUGUCUGUCUGCUGCUUCUAAAAUAGCUGUGGAAAGCUACUCUCUAGAGCUUUGGAAUCUUGUGCCUAUUGCUAAAGAAGGUGGAACAGUGGGAGGACGACUAUACUGUGGGCAAUAAACUGUAAUAAGAGUAACUUAUUUCAUGGCUUCUGACAGUGCACUUUUAUGAAUGUUUAUAGAGUCAGUGUGUGCAUCUAGAAUUGUCUUUGGGUCUUCAUAUUAUUAGAUUUCUGUAAUACUCACAACCAGCAGUGAGCAGGCUAUUUAAUCUGUAGAAAUAAUAUGUUUUUUUUUUUUCUUUAAAUACUGGAAACAGACCUUUCCUACACAAGAAGGGGAGAUGAUUUAACUGAAACAUAGCUGGUUUCCUGCAUUGUAGUCAACAUUGAGUGCGUAAUGAUUAGCUUAAGGGUGUAUUUUCAGUUUUCCAGUAGACCUUUAUAUUACUGUGGGAAGAAAAGGAUCAUUUUCCAUUUGUAAUUUCAGUCUAGUGGCAAAAUUCAAAUUAAACAUAUUUGCAGCCGCUUGACCUUUGGGCUGCAAUGACUUAAUUCCCCCUAGGCUGUUUGUUGAGGAGCCACACCUCCUUCUGCAGGGAGUGAGCAUUUGUCUGGGACACCAUCAGUUUGUGUGCUGCUGCUUGCAAGUUAAGGUGCUGUGGCCCAUACACAUGUUCAUAGCUUUGCCCCUAAGUGAGAUAAAAUGUCUUCAGUUAAACUACUUUCAUUUAAGUUUGAGUGCUUCAUUUAGCCACUGGGGCAACUUGAGAGAAACUAUGCAGCUUCUGGUGGGUCAGAAGAGUCACUGUGACUCAGGUGUAUCUAAUCACAUCCCAAACCAUGUAGAUUCCACCUGCUCAUGAAACCUGCAAGAUUCCACUCUGCUCAAAGUGCAGAAGGCAUGCUCAGAUCCCUUUGGGCACAGAACUGAUGGCUCCAACAUUUUUGGAGGUGUUGAUGUUCUGACUUGUAUGUGCCGUAGCAUAUUGAUGUACACAAGGUAAAGGUAAAUACUAUCAAUGCAGAAUUUUUCUCUCUUGGUUGUAGCAAAGUGUUUUGUUUACUUUGUACAACUUCAAAAUAUUUCACAAAUGUCUUUUCCCUCAUUAAUACCACCUCCAAAAUUUUGUGUUUGUACCAACCAGGUACUGAAUGCUUGCGCAGUGACUUGGCAGCACUUUCCCAAGAUGUCAGUGGAUGCACUGGGGUGUCAUAUCUGAAGAAUUAAUCCCCCCUGUCAGACUGUGGAGAGCAUUGUGGAGUCACUCUUAGCCUCCUGUGAAUGAGACAUAGGUUUCAGGUUUAUUGUUGUGUGGCUGAAGUUUGGCAAAUCAUUGCACAUCUGCUGAGCUUCUGUAACCAUGCUCACAAAAGCACACCGCAGACACAAAGCAAUGUCACCUUACAUCUCUUCUCCUCUGGGCUGAGCUAAAAUCUCCUCUUAUUUGCUCCGAUAGGAGGACAUCAUCACUUGCUGUGAGGUCACUGGAAUCUAUUCAGACUUAAAAAUCAGGAGUAUUAGCCCUUAAUUCCAGGUGAUUAAGAAUGAUUCUAGCAGUAUUUUGCAAGAACAGGGAAGCUUGUACUGGAGCCCUGUGGGUGGAGCUACUUUCUUGUUAAAUUUUUUUUGCAUUAUAAAACUGAGUGUAAUUUUCCAGUUUCAUGCCUGUUCCAAGCUUCUGUGUAAAGUUCCUGUGUAAUGAUAAACAGUUGCUUUUUGCA